UGUAACGUGGAUGAAAAUAGUGGUCUAUAUAGCAAGUAUUAAAAAAAUAAAUGUCCAAAAAAUAUAGUGGUAUCCAUCUCUCCACUAUUUAUGAUGUGAUAGAAAGGUAAUACUAUCCAUAAAGUAUGAUAGUAGUGGCCUAUGUGGCACUACCAUAACAAAGAUAAAUAUCCAAAAUGAGUAAUGAUUUACAUCUUAAUUUUCUUCACCCACGAUGUGAGAAGAA
RNAcentral lists this long non-coding RNA (226 nucleotides) under Elaeis guineensis (African oil palm). RNAcentral describes it as "long non-coding RNA (EGUI_LNC022738)". The record is from RNAcentral. Lineage: Eukaryota; Viridiplantae; Streptophyta; Magnoliopsida; Arecales; Arecaceae.